GCAACCUACCUUUAUCAGGGGGAUAGCCCGGAGAAAUCCGGAUUAACACCGCAUAAAAUCACAGCAUAGCAUUAUGUAAUGAUCAAAUAUUUAUAGGAUAAAGAUGGGCAUGCGUGUCAUUAGCUAGUUGGCGGGGUAACGGCCCACCAAGGCGACGAUGACUAGGGGAUCUGAGAGGAUGACCC
This 185-nucleotide ribosomal RNA is filed under the name uncultured Bacteroidota bacterium. RNAcentral's name for it is "uncultured Bacteroidetes bacterium partial 16S ribosomal RNA". It matches the Rfam family "Bacterial small subunit ribosomal RNA", at positions 121 to 306 of the family's 1533-position model. The record is from RNAcentral. Lineage: Bacteria; Pseudomonadati; Bacteroidota.